This 459-nucleotide ribosomal RNA is filed under the name uncultured bacterium. RNAcentral describes it as "partial 16S ribosomal RNA". It matches the Rfam family "Bacterial small subunit ribosomal RNA", at positions 338 to 795 of the family's 1533-position model. The record is from RNAcentral.
CCUACGGGAGGCAGCAGUGAGGAAUAUUGGUCAAUGGUCGGGAGACUGAACCAGCCAAGCCGCGUGAGGGAUGAAGGUACAGAGUAUCGUAAACCUCUUUUGUCAGGGAACAAAGGCGGGGACGCGUCCACGGAUGAGUGUACCUGAAGAAAAAGCAUAGGCUAACUCCGUACCAGCAGCCGCGGUAAUACGGGGGUUGCGAGCGUUAUCCGGAUUUAUGGGGUUUAAGGGGUGCGAAGGCGGUCUGUUAAGUCAGCGGUAAAAGCCCGGGGCAAAACCCCGGACCGCCGUUGAAACUGGCAGUCUCGAGUGGGAGAGAGGUAUGCGGAAUGCGCGGUGUAGCGGUGAAAUGCAUAGAUAUCGCGCAGAACUCCGAUUGCGAAGGCAGCAUGCCGGCUCCACACUGACGCUGAGGAACGAAAGCGUGGGUAUCGAACAGGAUUAGAUACCCUUGUAGUC